This 1554-nucleotide ribosomal RNA is filed under the name Klebsiella pneumoniae. Its description in RNAcentral is "bacterial SSU rRNA". It matches the Rfam family "Bacterial small subunit ribosomal RNA". Lineage: Bacteria; Pseudomonadati; Pseudomonadota; Gammaproteobacteria; Enterobacterales; Enterobacteriaceae. The record is from RNAcentral.
ACUUAAAUUGAAGAGUUUGAUCAUGGCUCAGAUUGAACGCUGGCGGCAGGCCUAACACAUGCAAGUCGAGCGGUAGCACAGAGAGCUUGCUCUCGGGUGACGAGCGGCGGACGGGUGAGUAAUGUCUGGGAAACUGCCUGAUGGAGGGGGAUAACUACUGGAAACGGUAGCUAAUACCGCAUAAUGUCGCAAGACCAAAGUGGGGGACCUUCGGGCCUCAUGCCAUCAGAUGUGCCCAGAUGGGAUUAGCUAGUAGGUGGGGUAAUGGCUCACCUAGGCGACGAUCCCUAGCUGGUCUGAGAGGAUGACCAGCCACACUGGAACUGAGACACGGUCCAGACUCCUACGGGAGGCAGCAGUGGGGAAUAUUGCACAAUGGGCGCAAGCCUGAUGCAGCCAUGCCGCGUGUGUGAAGAAGGCCUUCGGGUUGUAAAGCACUUUCAGCGGGGAGGAAGGCGGUGAGGUUAAUAACCUCAUCGAUUGACGUUACCCGCAGAAGAAGCACCGGCUAACUCCGUGCCAGCAGCCGCGGUAAUACGGAGGGUGCAAGCGUUAAUCGGAAUUACUGGGCGUAAAGCGCACGCAGGCGGUCUGUCAAGUCGGAUGUGAAAUCCCCGGGCUCAACCUGGGAACUGCAUUCGAAACUGGCAGGCUAGAGUCUUGUAGAGGGGGGUAGAAUUCCAGGUGUAGCGGUGAAAUGCGUAGAGAUCUGGAGGAAUACCGGUGGCGAAGGCGGCCCCCUGGACAAAGACUGACGCUCAGGUGCGAAAGCGUGGGGAGCAAACAGGAUUAGAUACCCUGGUAGUCCACGCCGUAAACGAUGUCGAUUUGGAGGUUGUGCCCUUGAGGCGUGGCUUCCGGAGCUAACGCGUUAAAUCGACCGCCUGGGGAGUACGGCCGCAAGGUUAAAACUCAAAUGAAUUGACGGGGGCCCGCACAAGCGGUGGAGCAUGUGGUUUAAUUCGAUGCAACGCGAAGAACCUUACCUGGUCUUGACAUCCACAGAACUUUCCAGAGAUGGAUUGGUGCCUUCGGGAACUGUGAGACAGGUGCUGCAUGGCUGUCGUCAGCUCGUGUUGUGAAAUGUUGGGUUAAGUCCCGCAACGAGCGCAACCCUUAUCCUUUGUUGCCAGCGGUUAGGCCGGGAACUCAAAGGAGACUGCCAGUGAUAAACUGGAGGAAGGUGGGGAUGACGUCAAGUCAUCAUGGCCCUUACGACCAGGGCUACACACGUGCUACAAUGGCAUAUACAAAGAGAAGCGACCUCGCGAGAGCAAGCGGACCUCAUAAAGUAUGUCGUAGUCCGGAUUGGAGUCUGCAACUCGACUCCAUGAAGUCGGAAUCGCUAGUAAUCGUAGAUCAGAAUGCUACGGUGAAUACGUUCCCGGGCCUUGUACACACCGCCCGUCACACCAUGGGAGUGGGUUGCAAAAGAAGUAGGUAGCUUAACCUUCGGGAGGGCGCUUACCACUUUGUGAUUCAUGACUGGGGUGAAGUCGUAACAAGGUAACCGUAGGGGAACCUGCGGUUGGAUCACCUCCUUACCUUAAAGAA